CCAGUAGACGACUGGGUUGAUAGGCCAGAUGUGGAAGCCCGGUAACGGGUGGAGCUGACUGGUACUAAUAGGCCGAGGGCUUGUCCUCAGUUG
This 93-nucleotide ribosomal RNA is filed under the name Streptomyces sp. SID8373. Its description in RNAcentral is "partial 23S ribosomal RNA". It matches the Rfam family "Bacterial large subunit ribosomal RNA", at positions 2837 to 2925 of the family's 2925-position model. The record is from RNAcentral. Lineage: Bacteria; Bacillati; Actinomycetota; Actinomycetes; Kitasatosporales; Streptomycetaceae.